Molecule: long non-coding RNA, 894 nt
Organism: Anolis carolinensis (green anole)
Lineage: Eukaryota; Metazoa; Chordata; Lepidosauria; Squamata; Anolidae
Exons: 2
Source: RefSeq, a predicted model, not a curated record
UAAGAAAGCAUUGUGAAGUCACAGUGUUGCCAUGUUGACAGUUGUCUUGAAGGCACAUACACACUGAUUAUAGUACUGUCUGUGGCUUUGCUUAGGAUAUGUCACUUCUCCCAAUCUUUCCUAGAGUUAAAAGCCAUUAAAUGUUUUGUUUCUUGAGAAAGUUAAACAAAGAAACAGAGAUGAGGUGCCAUUCUUUUAUCCUGACAGUAUCAUCUACUUCCCAAGCCAAGAAAAACAAAAUAACUUUGAGAAGGGAUAUAGGAAACAACAUAGCUCAAACAAAGUCUGAUUAGCAAUUAAUGCUGAACCCUAUUUAAUUGUAAACCAGCUCAAAGUAGGGUGAAGUUUUUUUUCAAAUGGGUGAGUCAAUAUUUCAGGCACAGCUGCAAGUUCGGCCCUUUUCUAUUGAUACAGCCCUUCAUGGUACUUUUUAAUCACCUGUACAUCAUUUUUACAUAGCGGUCUGACCAGAUUAGUCCUUUUAGUCAAUUCCAAGAUCUCUGAGCUAGUUUUAAUACCCAACUUUACAGCAACCUAAACAAUCUUCACUUGAGAUGCAGCUUAGCCAUGGACACAACAACCUAAGCAAAAUCAGUGAUUCUGCGUCAAUGUCUAUUUUGAACCCACUGAAGUUUCUGAACUUCAUGUAUGCUUCCUUCCAAGAAGAAAAUGAACUUGCUGCUCCCCAAAUUCAGUAACAUUUCUUGAAGAAAAUGGAGAGGUUACCUCUGGCAACUGGGAUUGCAGGCUGGCCUUCUCUGCCAAAGCAUCAUCAAUUGACUCUAAGAAGCUCCGUUCCACCACGUCAAAAGCCUGAAAGUCACCAGGAGAAAGUCAGUACAAAAUAUAUUAGAAUAGACUUUGCAUUAAAAUGUAUGUAUUUUAUAUAAAAAA